Non-coding RNA from Phascolarctos cinereus (koala), 3421 nucleotides. Lineage: Eukaryota; Metazoa; Chordata; Mammalia; Diprotodontia; Phascolarctidae. The record is from RefSeq and is a predicted model, not a curated record.
GGGCCCUUCAAAAUCCCCAACCUUCCAGUCUGCAGCCUCAGUGCCUGGCUCUCCCUGGUUCCUGGAGCUUCUCCUGGCAAGCCGUGGGCUGUCCCUUACCUCCAGCUUCUACUCUUCCGUCCCUCACUACUUCAGGUUUACUCUCUGUGCUAUGACUUUGGUCCCCACCUCUGAGAACUUCUCGGGGACUUGUUUCAAUGAACCUGGAGGCCCUUCACCUCUUCAUUGGCUUUAGAGACCAGCAAGGCCUUCUACCCCACCCCAGAAUUCCCCAGCUCUCCAUAGGUUGCCUCCAGUGAGUGGCCUCGUGGCUCUCCCAGCCAUCGCUCCAUUCCCUGGAUUCCCAAGGGGUUUCAGGACAGAUCCCACUGAAGCUGUGACGCUCUGGCCAAGCAUUUGCUCCUUUCUGGGCCUCAGCAUUCUCCUGUGGAAAUUGGAGGGGGUGGGAUGACAAGACCUCAAACGCCCCUCCCAGCUCUGACAUUCCAGUCUGUAAGUUACACGAACAUGAAUUUUAGAAGCCAAAUCUUAUAGCCAUGAGGGCUCUCCAAUGGUCAGUUUGUCUAUCCCCCUGCAGCAGGCUGAGCAGGUGGCAGUGCACAUAUGUGGGAGUGGGGUGGGCAGGAAUUACUCCUGGCCUUCAGGGUGGGGCAGAACAAGAGAGUCCUUUGCUAAGGACUUGCAUUUCAGGCUACCUCCUAGCACUGGCCUCAGUUUCUCCUACUCUUUCCCCUUCUUCACCUAGCCUUCCACAGGCCUGGACAGAUGAAUUAAUGGGUAGAGGAGAGAGGAGGGGAAGAGAUUCAUUUUAGUUCCCCUUUCCCCCACCCCCAUCAAACCAUGUUUAGCAAUCUGGAGAAGAAACUAUCUCCCUCGGUCGUCACACGAUGUCUUGGUGCCCUUCCUCUGUUCCUCUCUGUCACCAUCUCUCCCCUCCCUCCUUGGACUUCGAGGUUUCCCCUUCCUACCUCCCAGGGUGGCUGUGAAGAUCCAACCAGAUCCCCGAAGGGGGCAGCGCUUUGGAAAAUUAUCCGCAGGCUUGCAGGGUGUGAGAGCUGGGCAGGACCUUAGACCCAAUUGUUUAUGCUGGAAAGACUCCCUCGGCCCUUGAGAAUGCAGUCUGGCAGGGGCAGGGGAAGGAGCAGAAGCGCUUUCUUCUUACCGGGGUAAGGGUGGAGGGUAAGUGGUGCUUAGAAGGGUGCUAUCUCACAAGGUGGGGGCAUAACCACACAGUCCUCUUUCUACUGUACAGAGGGGUCCAUUGAGGCAUGGAGCGGAGGAUUCAAGGCCCAAGACCCAAGAAAGCUGCCCCCUCAUCUGCAAUGCAAGGUUGUACUUGGGCUAGAACACGCUCCCUUUCUCUCUCUCUUCCUCUCUCUCUCUCUCUCUCUCUCUCUCUCUCUCUCUCUCUCUCUCUCUCUCUCUCUCUCUCUCUCUUUCUCUCUCUCUCCCCCCAUUCCAGCUGUGUCUUUACCCCAGGCUCAAAAUCUCAUUCUACCACCAGUGUGUCCAUUUUCCUCACUGGGGCCUCAGUUUCCUCCUCUGUAAAAUGAGGGGGUUAGACUAGAGAGCUUCUGGGGUCCAUUUCACUCUAUGAUCCUUUGUUCUCUCUCUCCUCCUCUCCAUCUCAUUCUCUUUUUCUUCUUUUCUGUCUCUCUGUUCCUGUCUGUGCCUGAGCCUGCCUCAGUUUUUCUGUGUUUGUGCAUCUGUCUGUCGGUCUACGUCUGUCUGCCUGUCUGUCUGUCUGUCCGUCUCUCUUUCUCCUCUAGGGCUGCCCCGUGCCUCCAGCUCCCCGGCCUCUCCUCUGACCACAGGCCCGCAGUGCCACACUCCGUGUAUUUGACAAGCUGAGUCGGACACUCCGUGUGGUAGAGUGUCAGUUUGUCAAAUACCCCAAGUGAGACAUUUGCCUAGCAACCCUGGACUGGGGCAGAGUGGCUGACCGAUGGACUGUCCCUGCCAGCUUUGGAUUUCCAGACCCAGACCUCCGGAGAACAGAUGCCAAGUGGAUCAAGGGGACAGCUGUGGGUGGUGCUUUCAGCUUGACCCAGGGUAUUUGGGAAAUGGCUGGAGUAAGCUCCUCAGAGACUGUAAGAGCAGGGGGAGUCAGGAAAGCUAAGCUUGAGCCCCAAUUCUGCUACUCCCUAGCUGCAUGACCCUGGGUAAGUCCCUUGCACCCUCAGUUGAAGCAUCUAGUGAUUAGGUUCUGGUGAGGAACCGAUGAGACAAUUUAUGUAAAGUGCUUUGUAAUUUGUAGAGCACUAGAUACAAAUUUGCUGUUAAUAAUUCAAGGCUUCUAAGGAGCUAGAGGCCUCUUUGGACAUUGGUUAGGUCACAGAGCUUUGUGGCCCAGAUAUAGACUACCCAGAGGGACAUAGGGCAUAUACCUUGUCCCAAGAGGGAGGAAAGAGGGAGGGCCCAAGCCCCAGGAACACUCUGUCUCAUGACCUGGCUUUGUGGGGCUGGGCCCUUUGUAAAGGUUGUGCAAUCCCAAUGGUGCCCCACAUUGGGGUGGGAGGGGGGAGAUGGAUUUGGAGUUAACCCAAGUCCAGUCCUUGGUUCUACAUCUGUGUUACCUUGCUAGAGUCAUUUCUCCUUAAGGUACAACUUCUCCAGUUGUCAAAUGGAAACAACAAUCCCUACCUCACCUACUUCUGAAGGCAAGAUUAAAGUAUGUAAACUAGAAGUUUACUAGAAGAAGCAGGAGUUAACAUUGUUCUUAUCAUUCCUACUCAUUCUUUGUUAGAAUGGAAGCUCCCUGAGGGCAGAGACUGUUUUGCUUUUGUUACUGUACCUGGAAUAUAGUAGGCACUUAAUAAAUGUUUGUUGCUAGAUUAUUUCAUUAAUGUGUCCUUAGGACGCCAGAGAGCUGUUGGUAUUGUAUAUGGGCCCAGUUACUCUUCCUAAAUCCCCUGUUGCUAUUGAGGGCAUUGUCAUCUAAGUUCACAACCACAGUGUCAUCCUAGACUUCUGACUUGCCUUCACCCUCUAUAUCCAUUCAUUUGCCAAGGGUUUUCCACCAUCCCUUACUUGGGCCCUACCCAUCAUCCCUCACUUGAACCCUACCCAUCAUCCCUCACUCGGGUACCACCCAUCACCCCUCAUUCAAGCCUACCCAUCAUCCCUCAUUUGGGCCCUACCCAUCAUCCUUCACUUGGGCCCUACCCAUCAUCCCUCAUGGGCCCUACCUAUCAUCCCUCAUUUGGGUCCUACUCAUUCCUCAUGUGGACUCUACUCAUCAUUCCUCACUUGGGCCCUACCCAUCAUUCCUCACUUGGGCCCUAUCCCUCAUGGGCCAUACCUAUCACUUCACUUGGGCCCUACCCAUCAUCCUUCACUUGGGCUCUACCCAUCAUCCCUCACAUGGACUCUACUCAUCAUCCCUCACUUGGGCCCUACCUAUCACCUCACUUGGGCCAUA